RNAcentral lists this ribosomal RNA (253 nucleotides) under uncultured bacterium. Its description in RNAcentral is "partial 16S ribosomal RNA". It matches the Rfam family "Bacterial small subunit ribosomal RNA", at positions 524 to 776 of the family's 1533-position model. The record is from RNAcentral.
UACGGGGGGGGCAAGCGUUGUUCGGAAUUACUGGGCGUAAAGGGCUCGUAGGCGGCCAACUAAGUCAGACGUGAAAUCCCUCGGCUUAACCGGGGAACUGCAUCUGAUACUGGAUGGCUUGAGUUCGGGAGAGGGAUGCGGAAUUCCAGGUGUAGCGGUGAAAUGCGCAGAUAUCAGGAGGAACACCGGUGGCGAAGGCGGGUCUCUGGGCAACAACUGACGCUGAGGAGCGAAAGCGUGGGGAGCGAACAGG